This 326-nucleotide unclassified non-coding RNA is filed under the name soil metagenome. RNAcentral's name for it is "partial contains 5.8S ribosomal RNA, internal transcribed spacer 2, and large subunit ribosomal RNA". The stretch from base 1 to 120 matches the Rfam family "5.8S ribosomal RNA", at positions 35 to 154 of the family's 154-position model. The record is from RNAcentral.
GAUGAAGAACGUAGCGAAAUGCGAUAAGUAAUGUGAAUUGCAGAAUUCAGUGAAUCAUCGAAUCUUUGAACGCACAUUGCGCCCCUUGGUAUUCCGAGGGGCAUGCCUGUUCGAGCGUCAUAUUAACCACUCCCGCUUGCGGGGUCUUGGGCUUCGCCUCCGGGCGGGCCUUAAAAUCAGUGGCGGUGCCGUCGGGCUCUACGCGUAGUAAAUUUUCUCGCGAUAGGGUCCCGGUGGAUGCUUGCCAACAACCCCCAACUUCUUAAGGUUGACCUCGGAUCAGGUAGGGAUACCCGCUGAACUCAAGCAUAUCAAUAAGCGGAGGA